GAAUCACAUACAGAAGACAGAGUACUUUGCACAUUUUACAAAGAAUAAGCCAUAGUCUCUUUCCUCUUUUAAGUUUAAAUAUUUAUUUCACAAUUGCAUUUAAUUAACUACAUUGGCAAAUACAUCCUAACAGCAAUGCAAAAGCUGAUUUCAGAUGAAAAAAAAACAAAAACUUGUGAAAACAGUAUGAAAAACAAAUCAAUUCAAAAUGGUUAUUUCAAGAGAAAAAAACUUAACAAAGCCAUUGGUCAGCUACCUCUUAAAAUGGGUAAAGGCAAAAUAAAUUAUACUAAGAAACCGUAGAGAACUAUUAAACAAUAUUCUACUAUUAAACAGUAUUUAAAACACUAUUUGUCAUUUUUAAAAAUAAGAUAUUGCUAAUAAAUACUGAUACAGAGAAAUGUCUAAGAUAAAUUAAGUUAAAAAAACUGAAAAGGCACGGACAAUAAAUAGAAAACAUGCUCCCCCCCCCAAAAAAAUGCAUUUAUACACACAGGAAAAUAGAGGUACACACACACACACACACACACACACACACACACACACAAACCUAGCACAAUAUAUAACAAUCCCACAGGAGAGUGGAAUUCUAAAGGGCUUUCACUUUCUCAGUUAUAUAUAUGUCUGAAAUGUUUAAAAUUUUUUAUCUAAUUUUUAAAAGAUUUUUUUAAGACUUAAAAGGCAAAGGAAAAGAAAACCUCACCAACAUUAGAGAUGGAAUCUUAAUUUAAUAUCCAUCCCAUUAAAGUCAAUAUAGGAAGAACGUGAAAAUAAAUGUAACACAUAAGAAAAAAAAAACACGUAAUAAACGCUUGAAAUACACAUCCACUAGAGUAACUUUGAGACCAAUGCCAUCUUGUGGCAACCAACAGAAGUGUUUUCCUACUUAAAAGCCAAAACAACCACGAAACCUCUGUUCAGUAAAUCAUCGAUGAUGUUUAAAUGUAGACCAUAUCAUACAUACCAAAAAUGCAGCUCAAAUCAGACACAGAAGAAGGCUUAGAAGCUGUUUUGCUGAGUGGGCAUGUUUCCUGGGAAACGCACUAGGAAAAAUGUCCACCCAGGUCUACUGCCAACUCUGGCAACUACCAGCCCGUGGCCUGAAGCGUGCUUCUCUGGUUUUGUCCUUGCAAGUCAAGGGAGGAAGUUAUCCCAAUCGCUACCAUUGCUUCCUUCCAAUGCCAAAAAUAGGAUCAAACCCACAAGGUCACCAUUCCAGGUCCUGAACAGCUAUUCCAGUAUGUGUGCCAGGCUCCUCUUGCCACGACAGACUCCCACAUACAGUGUGAUGUACCCACCUGCUCACACACCAAACCUCAAUGCGUCUCACGGUUCUGUGCUCUGGGGCACAGUCAGCUCUGCCCCUAGGGUCGCUUUAUGUCAUCUGCCCUGCGAAGCAGCCUCAGCACCACUCUCCACACUCCUCUCAACAGUCAAUGCUUCUCCUCUCAGCUCACACGACACUGACCACAUAACCAGCAAGACCAACCAGAGUUUCCAAAUCAAAAACCGGGACCAGUAAUCUGACAAAAAACUAAGCUUAUGAGGGCAAAUAGGUAAAGUAUUUGAAAUCAUAAACGAUCCAGAAAAGCCUAACUAUAAACAAACACUUGCAGAAUCUACUGCAUCUCAGGUACUGUGCCUGGGCUCUGGAUACAGAGCGCCGCCGCCACCCUCUCACCCUGCCUGUGAGCACCUAGCAUGAAAGCUACUCAGAAAAGGCCGAUGCAGGUCAGGUCAAUGCUGGCAAGGGGUCCCCAAGGGAAGGCCAGAUCGAAAAAGAGCAGUAGUGGUCAUAGCUUGCAGACCUCCUGAAGUGCCCUUCAGAUUAAAGUGCCGUUUCUCAAAAGUCACCUUCCGAAGCGGAGCAGAUUCUGAGGACAGCACCCACAGGACUUCCUGGGGUCGGGGCAGCCAGGGCUCAAGGCUGACGCUGAGCCUUCAGCCUGAGAACGGGAAGGGUAGAGCUGGUAUCGCCCGUGACGGAGAAGGCCCCAGCUGGAGCGGGCCGGCGGGGAAACACGGGACUCAGCUUUGGCCCCGGCCUCGUCUGUCAUGUCCACAAGGCAGGAGCACCACGGAGGCCACGCUUCACACCUCUCCGCAGGCUACCAGGUGGCCUAGAACUUCUGUCUGCCCCAUUGCUGGCUACGUUCUGACUGACCACUGGGCAGGACGGUGUCUGCCAGGGCUCUCUGACUCUAACAUCACUCUUCCACUUUUAAUUAGUAAGUAUUUUGUGGGAAGCUAAGUUUGAAACUAGGAAAAAUACCCUGUUCCUUGCCAAAAAGUUUAUUCAUUUACUGAUGCCUAUCAGGAUGGACUCAAGAUUGUUCUAUUUUAUUCUGUGCAGGAUCCAUUACAAUCGUUCUCCGGACACUCAGAUUGUCCCUGAUUGAUGUGAAAGCCCUUCAAGGCUCUUGGGUCUUUUAGACAUGCACCCCAUCGUUCUUGGAGCACUUCCUUGCAUUCUGGCAGUACCAUACGUACAAAAUGAGCCUGGAACUUCCCCUCUCCUACCCCUGCAGUCAGCUUCUUCCCCAAGGAGCCCUGGUUCCUAUCAGUGGAAAGUUGUAUUUAGAAGCACAGAUCUAGGGCUAAGUAUAUUCACUGCUCCUGGGGUGUCAUGCUCCCAAUGGACAGGCAAGGAAUGCAAGUAUGCACUACGCCUACAUGUACAUAUACACACUAACAUGCACCCACCUUCACAUCUAGAUCUGGUGCAACAACUCUGUAUUGAAAACCGUGAGUCCACACUGAUAGUUCACUUGCAAGUCCAACUGCAAUGCAACAACCCUGUUCAUUUUCAUUUUUCUCCCUUUCCCUUAACUACAGAAUGGUUCCCCUCACCUUUAAUGGACCAACCCCCUGGAAAUGAUCUGACACCCCGCCCCCUGCGGAGGCGCCCUCCUGCUCAGCAGGACUCUCCUUCCAUUUCCUCCUUUUUGGUGGAGGGGGCAAGGCAAGGAAAGACGGUGGAGAGAAGGGAGGCAACCCCAAAUUCCCACAGACUGUGCACGAGCACCAACCCUGGAUUGUUUUGCAGAUGUGAUUGAAUCCACACAACAGCAUGACAGAGAAAGGGAUGCCAGCUCCAGGCACGUGAUGCAGGAGCCACCUGCCAGGAGAACCCUCAGACCCGCCACAACAGCGAUGGCAGCAGAACUGAUGAAAGCAGAAGGGGAGGUCAGGGCUCCUGAGCCUCCUCACAAGGAAACGAGGCACAGCCACCGUUUCACAGAAUACACUGCAAGGUAACGUCUAAGUGAUGUGUUCUGGUCUGUUGUGCAAACACCACCACUUUCUAGUUCCAGAACAUUCCAUCACCCCAAAAUAAAACCUUGUAUUCAUUAAGCAGCUGCUCCCCAUUUUGCCCUCCCCUCAGUCCCUGGUAACCAUCAAUAUGACACUGAUGGGUUUACCUAUUCUGGAUAUUUCUCAUAAAUGGAAUCCUACACUACAUGGCCUUUCAUGUCUGGCUUCUUUCACUUAGCAUGAUGUUUUCAAGGUUCCUACAUGCUGUAGUAUGUGUCAGUACCUUAUUCCUUUUUAUGGCUGAAUAAUAUCCCCGGGGACAUGAGAGUAUCCGUGAAUGUGUGCGUAAGUGCGGGCAGCCUUUCUCCCUUUCCCUCACCUCCUCCCCACCCCAGGCAAAAGAUGAAUAAUCUGAUACUAAUCGCAAAGAAACAAAUCCAAAUAACUGGCCUGUCAUCUUCAGAAGUAUCAAGGUAAGGGAAGUCAAGAAAAUACUGAAGGGUUUCAGUCUGAAGGCAACUAAAGGGACAUGACAACUACAAGCAGUGUGUGAUUCUGAGUGGGAUCUUUUUGCAACAAAGGACAUGAACGGGACAACUGGUAAAUCUGAAUGGGGCAGGAGUGGUACAGCAUCAGUUUCAUUAUCUUGAUGUUUGUAUGGUAGCUACACAGGAGAAUGCACUGUUUACAGGCAUUAUAUAAAAAAGUAUCCUGAGGAAAUGGAGAACCAGGUCAGCAACUUCUCAAACAGUUCUGGGGCAAAAAGGCUCUUUUUUGUUAUAUUUCUAACUUUUGUCUAAAUUCAGGACUACGCCAAAAAUUUUUCAAGAAUCCAAAGAAUCCUGGAAUAAUAAUCUCUCCAAUGUAGUUACAUCUGUGUGAUUUCAAAUUUUAGUCAAGCAAAAUAUGAUAGAAAGAAACUCACUGCUUCCCAUCUGGUUUGAUACCUCAAAAAAAAAAUUAAAGGGUACAUCAAUCAUAUAUCAGCAUAUAUAAGCAGAAAAAGAGCUAUCGGGAACCUAAAGAACCAUCUGAGUCCGUCUCCCUGCUCACAGCAGGUAGAUGUUCGAUUAACUAGAAGAGAUGUCUGUUCCCUAUUCCAAGACUGUCACAGCCUUCUCAGCAGACCAUUAAACAGCCAAGAGUUUUCUUUCUUAUGGCCCAGCAACUUCCCCAACCAUAAGCCCACUUCCUGGUUAAAACCUCUGAAGGUAAAAUUGUCAGCUCCUCAAACAAGCAAAUUUUAACAGGAGACAAUCAAUCCUCAUUUUUCCAUGUACAGUUGAUCCUUGAACAAUAUGGCUUAGAAAUGCACAGGCCCACUUACAAGUGAAUUUUUUUAAUAAAUAUAGUACAGUAAUAUAAAUGUAUUUUCUCUCCCUUAUGAUUUUCUUAAUAGUUUUCUUUUCUCUAGCUACUUUAUUGGGAGAAUACAGUAUAUAAUACAUAUAACAUAUAAAAUAUGUGUUAAUCAGCUGUUUAUGUCAUCAGUAAGACUUCCAGUCAAUAGUAAGCUAUUAGUAGUUAAGUUCUGGAUAAGUCAAAAAUUAUACACAAUUUCCAACUGCACAGGGCCAGCGUCCCUCACCCCCACGGUGUUCAAGAGUCAACUGGGUAUCUGUCUCUAUGUGUUUCUAAGGAUAGGGUUAAUAUCGAUAAAAGCAUUGUAAUACUUCAGGUGAAUUUUUUCCACAUUUAUGCCCAAAGGUGUGAAUUAAAUUUGAAGAAUUUAUGACAUCAAAAUUUGAAACAGAACAAAUGAAUUUUAAAA
Molecule: long non-coding RNA, 5026 nt
Organism: Zalophus californianus (California sea lion)
Lineage: Eukaryota; Metazoa; Chordata; Mammalia; Carnivora; Otariidae
Exons: 3
Source: RefSeq, a predicted model, not a curated record